This is a long non-coding RNA of Mus musculus (house mouse), 3153 nucleotides long. RefSeq annotates it as predicted gene, 51701. The transcript has 2 exons. The record is from RefSeq and is marked validated. NCBI's taxonomy places the organism in Eukaryota, Metazoa, Chordata, Mammalia, Rodentia, Muridae.
UGAAUCUGUGAUGCAGGGGGGUGACGCUAAAUGACUGUCUGAGGCAGGGGGAUGACUGUGAGUGAUAUUCUGAGGCAGGGGGAUGACAGUGAGUGAAUCUGUGAUGCAGGGGGGUGACGCUAAAUGACUGUCUGAGGCAGGGGGAUGACUGUGAGUGAUAUUCUGAGGCAGGGGGAUGACAGUGAGUGAUUUUCUGAGGCAGGGGGAUGACUGUGAGUGAAUUUCUGAGGCAGGGGGAUGACUGUGAGUGGCUGCUGUGGGUGAGGGUCAGGUACGCACACCCGCCCCAGCAGAGCCUGCCGGGAGCUCAGCCUCCGCACACACGGACAGACAGACAGACAGACAGACAGCCCCGCCUCUGCGUCCCCCUUGGCCGAUGUGCGCGACACAGCGCCCCGGGCUUCCCGCCUCAGAGCGGCGCCGGCGGCCUCUGACUCUGUCCCGCGGGGCCGAGCCGGGACGCGGAUCGCGUGAGCUCCUCGUUCAAGGCGGGGCGCGGAAGAGAGGAGCCGCGGCGACUCUGCUGUCCCCACCAGCCACGGCCCCGCCUCCUCCGCCGGCCGGGGGGGCCCCGCGUCCCCUGAGGGGGGACCUUCCGCGCAGGCGUCUCCCCGCCUCUGCCCGGUCGGCGCUGCCUGCGAUCCCUUGUGUUCCAGAGUCCAGCACAUUAACGAGUAUUUGUGGCACACGUAGAGAGGGGCAGAGGCAGGGGGAUUGCUGAGUUGGAGGCCAGCCUGGUCUACAGAGUGAGCUCCAGGACAGCCAGGGCUACACAGAGAAACCCUGUCUCGAAAAACCAAAAAAAGUUUCUGAGGCAGGGGGAUGACUGUGAGUGUGUUUCUGAGGCAGGGGGAUGACCAGGAAUGAAUGUGUGAGGCAGGGGGAUGAUCCCUGUGGCCUUUGGUCCUCACGGCGAGUGAUUUUGGGGGUGGGGGAGGGGUCCCGCCCUGGGGAAAGCGAGACAGACGGGACCCGAGAAUCCACACGGACAGUCUGGACCCCCGGCCCCUCCCGUCUGCAGCGCGGCCGCCAUCGAGCCUCCCGGUGGUGACGUCAUUUGAAAGAAGACAAUGGAAUCCUCACGACGGCCGCAUUCUCCUCGGUCACCACCGGGUGGCGGCAGAGAGCACGCCGGGAAAAACUUCCGCUCCGGAAGUCCUCCAAGGGGUCGGAUCUGCCCGUCGCCUCCCAGCCAGGAUAGUGGCUCUUCCCAGUGUCAAACCCCAAAGUAACUCUGAAGACCAUCAAGGAUCCAAGGCAUCCGUUUGAAGAGGAGCAGGUGGAGAGGAGACUGUGGUGGAGACCGGCCAGCAACACAACCCCACUUAACCCACAAUGGGCUCUGGAGUUUUCUUUACUGACACCUUGCGUGUCAUUUCUUCCUCUUUGGUGCUGGAAUUCUCGGGUUCCACAGAAGGCUCCGGGCUUAUAUUAUUUCACUUGAUCAGCAAGGUUCACCAUCCCAGGUCUCUCUUGACCUUGAAGACUGGCAGUGGGCUACUUAGAACUUUUGGCUUCCUUUUUUUGUUUGUUUGUUUUUUGUUUUUCGAGACAGGGUUUCUCUGUGUAGUCCUGGCUGUCCUGGAACUCACUCUGUAGACCAGGCUGGCCUCGAACUCAGAAAUCCGCCUGCCUCUGCCUGGGUGCUGGGACCAAAGGCGUGCGUCACCACGCCCCGGCGAUGUGGCUUUCUUUUCUAAAACCCUUUGACUCGCUCAAUUCACUUGUGCCUGGGGAUUAUAGUGACUCUUAACGGAAUGUGUUCAAGGAUGAAAAGACAGAACCAGUAGGACUGGCUGGUUGUUACUCAGUAGCCAUCACAUUCUGCUUCCUCCCGAGAGCUCAAAUAGCCUGUAGCCCCGCCUGUGCAGGGGUGAUUGACAUUCAUAUGACCAGUGAGUAACUGGAUAUCGUGUGCAUUUCAAAAGCUCCCUUAGCACCUAUUCAAGAGUAACCUCGCGAAUCAACAACGGGGGACCUGUGAGGCAAGGUCAGAGUUGUAGGCAGUGAUCCUCGGUGCGAGGCCGGCCCCACAGCCCUCGUUGGGCACAGCUGGCAGCACUGUAGCUGUGAGAGUCAGUGGUCAUUUCACGUGUGGCGCCAGUGGAGGUCCAGUGGCACAGGGACUUGAGUCAAUUAUUUUGUUUAGGUGGAGAGAACCGUGCAUGUGGAGGCAGAUGUUUCCCCAAGCAAGGGAAAACAGAAUCUGGGUCACUUCUGUUCUCAGAGAUUGCCAGUGAGAGGAGCUGAGCUGGUGGCCCAUCCAUCUUGCUUGGGAAUGGCUUCAGUGUCCCCCAACCUGACCUCUCUCAUCUGCAGUCAAUUGAAGAACUGGUGAACGAUCAGCCUUUGCUCUGGGGUCCCACUGUGCGUCCUCUGUUGCUGUCUCUGAGCUUACUUUUCAUUUGCAUGAUGAGCAUAUUACAUAUAAAUAGUAAAAAUCACCAUGGGACAUCAGGACUUAAACAGGAAGCAUGUAUUGUGUCAUACAGUCUUGUGUGUUGGGAAUUUGAGACAUCUUAGUGGGGUCGUUUCACUACAGUCUCUCUCGGACGAGGGAGAACGUCUACUCCGUCAUUAGGAGAUUUGGCUGGAGGUGGGGCUUAAUUGCUUUCAGGUGUUCAUGCCUCCGGCUGCUCGCAGAGACCUCACUUCCUCAUCUCACGAGUCUCUCCACUACUGCCUCAGAGUCCUGUGACAUGACCGCAAGCAACAGCAAUGCGUGACAGCAAGACAGUAAACUUCUUUCUAUACUCUAAGGUCAGCCUGACUCAAGGAAAUGACUACCAGGAAGUCUAAGCUACCGUGGACCAUCAUGAACGCUAUGAACACAGUGGACUAAUAUCAGUUCUGUUCAUUGAAUCCCAAUGUUUUUCAUUUGUUUGUUUUGAGACAGGGUGUCCUAGGCUGGCUUCAAACCGCUACUGCUCCCUGAGUGCUGGAACUAAACCACAUUUGGUUUGUGCAGUGCUGAGGAUGGAACUCGGGGCUCUGCUGGUAAUAGACAAGCACUCUACCAACCGAAUUACAUCAACAGUCCCAUUGUGAGGCUUUGUGUACAUACUCUGUGUUAGACUCCCCCCUCCCCCCACUAUGACACAUAGUGAAAUGUGUUCUGAGAGGAACAAAUUAAAGAGAGAAUUUGUUUUGGGU